RNAcentral lists this non-coding RNA (21 nucleotides) under Arabidopsis thaliana (thale cress). Lineage: Eukaryota; Viridiplantae; Streptophyta; Magnoliopsida; Brassicales; Brassicaceae. The record is from RNAcentral.
UUGGUCAAUUAUGGUAUGUCC